Molecule: transfer RNA, 75 nt
Filed under: Dehalococcoidia bacterium
Lineage: Bacteria; Bacillati; Chloroflexota; Dehalococcoidia
Also listed under: 1 other name
Description: tRNA-Ile
Rfam family: tRNA
About the family: Transfer RNA (tRNA) molecules are approximately 80 nucleotides in length.
Source: RNAcentral
GGGCCCGUAGCUCAGUGGUAGAGCGGUCGGCUCAUAACCGAUUGGUCGUAGGUUCGAUCCCUGCCGGGCCCACCA